Nicotiana tabacum (common tobacco) is the source of this 1458-nucleotide non-coding RNA. The record is from RefSeq and is a predicted model, not a curated record. Lineage: Eukaryota; Viridiplantae; Streptophyta; Magnoliopsida; Solanales; Solanaceae.
GCAUCAUGUAGUAUAGUUAUCUUAUAUUAAAGGAAUUUAGCUAUGGGUUUUUGAAUAAUAAUUUUUGGAGUCUUCUUAACCCAAAAUUGAGACACAAAAGACAUGGUUCAACCCAAUUACCCUUAGCCCAUUCUUCCCAACUCAUUAGCCCAUUUAAGUGCAAGAUUUAAUCCUAGCCAUCUCUUUUCUUCUAAUCCAAUGACUAUCAUCCUUUCCCACUUCCAUAUAAAAUACCCAAUUAUAGAACCCUUAAGUUUUUAAUUCCAAAAACCUAGCUAACACACAAAAACGGCGGAUUCAAAAGAGGAGUCCAUGGUCUCCAAUUCUCAGAUAUAGCAAAACGGUAGCAACCAUUAUGUUGACUAUACACUGUUCUGUUCUUCAGCUGAUUCCUUUCUUCUUCUAAUAAUUACGUGCUUCUAACUCCUAAAGCUCCUUUUUGGAGCUCCAAUUAUUUAACUCCAAAUACCAAAAUCCAGAGCAGGAUUAUCAAAGAAUGGGGGUAGGAGGACGUGAGGUGGCAAUUUCAUUGGAUGGAGUGAGGGACAAGAUUGUGAUGUAAUUGAAGUAAAUCAAUAUUGCAAUUUUCCCAAUUCGCUACAAUGAUAGGUAUUACAUUGAUGCCAUUGCCUCUGGUGAUUUUACCAAGCUAGCGUAUUACAGUGACAUUUGUGUUGGUUCAAGUGCAUGUCGCCUUGAGAAGAAGGAAGGUGGGGCUGUUCGUGUUUAUAAUGACUACGGUUGUUUUUGCUCCAUAUCAUGGGCUAGGUCGAAAGAGAAGCAGAUCCAACUUUUUGAAGUUUUAUGUCUUUGGGUCAUCCAUGGCGAUCCUGCUGUCAGUGGCCUAUCUUGCUAUGAGCAAUUUCUCAUUGGAGCUGCUGGAAAGGUACUAAAGUUGCAAAAAACGUCAGUCUCCCUAUCCAGUGCCCAAUCGUUAAAAUUCCUUAUGAAUCGUAUCCUCCAUCUAUGUUUCUCUUGGAGAAGCCAAGGAAGCUUCCUUAUAUUGGGAAAUUGCAAACAGUUCAGGGAAUUGAUCUUUCAGCAAGGUCGUAGCGGGUCCAUUUAUCAUUUUAAUCAAGCCAAAAUGAUUAAAGUUUGGAGACUCUAAAGAUUGCAGAUGUCCUACUAGGAUUUGUGGUACAAUUUUUGGCUAUCGGUACAACCAUUUCUCUUAUUAAAAAUAUGGCACCUCCUAAGAGGGCUUCUUGAUUGUUAGUGUAACUCUGGUGUUAUUCUUUGACUGAUUAAAGAGGGUUCUUAUAUAUUUGUGAUUCGACGGAGAUGCUGCUGUAAGUUGCCUUUAUCAAUGCUAUUUUUGCAAGCUUUUAGGAUUAACAUUAUCUUUUGAGCUUUUGACAUGUUCAACCAUAGCUUUUUAGAGUAUCAGUCCGGAUGUACCUAGCCUUUGUCUUUUUUAUUUUCCUUCUCAGUAAAUCUUAGGCCUUCUUUCUUUUUUGA